CCUACGGGUGGCUGCAGUGGGGAAUAUUGCGCAAUGGGCGAAAGCCUGACGCAGCGACGCCGCGUGAGGGAUGAAGGUCUUCGGAACGUAAACCUCUGUCAGCAGGGAAGAACGGUCACUGUGCUAAUCAGCAGUGAAUUGACGGUACCUGCAAAGGAAGCACCGGCUAACUCCGUGCCAGCAGCCGCGGUAAUACGGAGGGUGCGAGCGUUAAUCGGAAUUACUGGGCGUAAAGCGCUCGUAGGCGGUACGUCAAGUCAAGGGUGAAAUCCCCGCGCUCAACGUGGGAACUGCCUUGGAAACUGGCAAACUGGAGUGUGUGAGAGGAUAGUGGAAUUCCAGGUGUAGGAGUGAAAUGCGUAGAUAUCUGGAGGAACAUCAGUGGCGAAGGCGACUAUCUGGCACAUAACUGACGCUGAGGAGCGAAAGCGUGGGUAGCAAACAGGAUUAGAUACCCUGGUAGUC
Molecule: ribosomal RNA, 465 nt
Filed under: uncultured bacterium
Lineage: Bacteria
Description: partial 16S ribosomal RNA
Rfam family: Bacterial small subunit ribosomal RNA
Source: RNAcentral